RNAcentral lists this ribosomal RNA (506 nucleotides) under uncultured bacterium. RNAcentral's name for it is "partial 16S ribosomal RNA". It matches the Rfam family "Bacterial small subunit ribosomal RNA", at positions 30 to 523 of the family's 1533-position model. The record is from RNAcentral.
AUUGAACGCUGGCGGCAGGCUUAACACAUGCAAGUCGAGCGGUAACAGAGAGAAGCUUGCUUCUCUGCUGACGAGCGGCGGACGGGUGAGUAAUGCCUAGGAAUCUGCCUAGUAGUGGGGGAUAACUUGCCGAAAGGUAAGCUAAUACCGCAUACGUCCUACGGGAGAAAGGAGGGGACCUUCGGGCCUUUCGCUAUUAGAUGAGCCUAGGUCGGAUUAGUUAGUUGGUGAGGUAAUGGCUCACCAAGACCGCGAUCCGUAACUGGUCUGAGAGGAUGAUCAGUCACACUGGAACUGAGACACGGUCCAGACUCCUACGGGAGGCAGCAGUGGGGAAUAUUGGACAAUGGGGGGAACCCUGAUCCAGCCAUGCCGCGUGUGUGAAGAAGGUCUUAGGAUUGUAAAGCACUUUAAGUUGGGAGGAAGAGCAGUUAACUAAUAUUUGACUGUUUUGACGUUACCGACAGAAUAAGCACCGGCUAACUUCGUGCCAGCCGCCGCCGUAA